Molecule: ribosomal RNA, 492 nt
Filed under: uncultured bacterium
Lineage: Bacteria
Description: partial 16S ribosomal RNA
Rfam family: Bacterial small subunit ribosomal RNA
Source: RNAcentral
AGUGAACGCUGGCGGUAGGCCUAACACAUGCAAGUCGAACGGCAGCACAGUAAGAGCUUGCUCUUACGGGUGGCGAGUGGCGGACGGGUGAGGAAUACAUCGGAAUCUACUUUUUCGUGGGGGAUAACGUAGGGAAACUUACGCUCAUACCGCAUACGACCUACGGGUGAAAGCAGGGGAUCUUCGGACCUUGCGCGAUUGAAUGAGCCGAUGUGGGAUUAGCUAGUUGGCGGGGUAAAGGCCCACCAAGGCGACGAUCCGUAGCUGGUCUGAGAGGAUGAUAGGCCACACGGGAGCUGAGGCACGGUCCAGGGUCCUACGGGAGGCAGCAGUGGGGAAUAGUGGACAAUGGGCGCGAGCCUGAUCCAGCCAUACCGCGUGGGUGAAGGAGGCGUUCGGGUUGUAAAGCCCUUUUGUUGGGAGAGAAAAGCAGCAGGUUAAUACCCCGCUGUUCUGACGGUACCCAAAGAAUAAGCACCGGCUAACUUCGUG